CAGCCGCCGCGGUAAUACGUAGGUGGCAAGCGUUGUCCGGAAUUAUUGGGCGUAAAGGGCUCGCAGGCGGUUUCUUAAGUCUGAUAUGAAAGCCCCCGGCUCAACCGGGGAGGGUCAUUGGAAGCUGGGAAACUUGAGUGCAGAAGAGGAGGGUGGAAUUCCACGUGUAGCGGUGAAAUGCGUAGAGAUGUGGAGGAACACCAGUGGCGAAGGCGACUCUCUGGUCUGUAACUGACGCUGAGGCGCGAAAGCGUGGGGAGCAAACAGGAUUAGAUACCCCAGUAGUCCCUGUCUCUUAUAC
RNAcentral lists this ribosomal RNA (301 nucleotides) under uncultured bacterium. RNAcentral describes it as "partial 16S ribosomal RNA". It matches the Rfam family "Bacterial small subunit ribosomal RNA", at positions 509 to 807 of the family's 1533-position model. The record is from RNAcentral.